GGGGAAUAUUGGACAAUGGGGGGAACCCUGAUCCAGCAAUGCCGCGUGUGUGAAGAAGGCCUGAGGGUUGUAAAGCACUAUCAGUGGGGAGGAGUAUUGAUUGGUUAAGAGCUGAUUGAUAGGACGUUACCCACAGAAGAAGCACCGGCUAACUCCGUGCCAGCAGCCGCGGUAAUACGGAGGGUGCGAGCGUUAAUCGGAAUUACUGGGCGUAAAGGGUGCGUAGGUUGUUGAAUAAGUUAUCUGUGAAAUUCCUGGGCUUAACCUGGGCAUGUCAGAUAAUACUGUUUGACUCGAGUAUGGGAGAGGGCAGUGGAAUUUCCGGUGUAGCGGUGAAAUGCGUAGAGAUCGGAAGGAACACCAGUGGCGAAGGCGACUGCCUGGCCUGUUACUGACACUGAGGCACGAAAGCGUGGGGAGCAAAC
RNAcentral lists this ribosomal RNA (425 nucleotides) under uncultured bacterium. Its description in RNAcentral is "bacterial SSU rRNA". It matches the Rfam family "Bacterial small subunit ribosomal RNA", at positions 356 to 773 of the family's 1533-position model. The record is from RNAcentral.